RNAcentral lists this ribosomal RNA (490 nucleotides) under uncultured bacterium. RNAcentral's name for it is "partial 16S ribosomal RNA". It matches the Rfam family "Bacterial small subunit ribosomal RNA", at positions 30 to 507 of the family's 1533-position model. The record is from RNAcentral.
AUUGAACGCUGGCGGCAGGCCUAACACAUGCAAGUCGAACGGUAACAGGAAACAGCUUGCUGUUUCGCUGACGAGUGGCGGACGGGUGAGUAAUGUCUGGGAAACUGCCUGAUGGAGGGGGAUAACUACUGGAAACGGUAGCUAAUACCGCAUAACUUCGCAAGACCAAAGAGGGGGACCAUCGGGCCUCUUGCCAUCGGAUGUGCCCAGAUGGGAUUGGCUUGUUGGUGGGGUAACGGCUCACCAAGGCGACCAUCCCUAGCUGGUCUGAGAGGAUGACCAGCCACACUGGAACUGAGACACGGUCCAGACUCCUACGGGAGGCAGCAGUGGGGAAUAUUGCACAAUGGGCGCAAGCCUGAUGCAGCCAUGCCGAGUGUAUGAAGAAGGCCUUCGGGUUGUAAAGUACUUUCAGCGGGGAGGAAGGGAGUAAAGUUAAUACCUUUGCUCAUUGACGUUACCCGAAGAAGAAGCACCGGCUAACUCCGUG